UACGUAGGGGGCAAGCGUUGUCCGGAAUCACUGGGCGUAAAGCGCACGUAGGCGGAUCGUUAAGUCGGGGGUGAAAUCCCAGGGCUCAACCCUGGAACUGCCUUCGAUACUGGCGAUCUUCGAGUCCGGGAGAGGUGAGUGGAACUCCGAGUGUAGAGGUGAAAUUCGUAGAUAUUCGGAAGAACACCAGUGGCGAAGGCGGCUCACUGGCCCGGUACUGACGCUGAGGUGCGAAAGCGUGGGGAGCAAACAGG
This 254-nucleotide ribosomal RNA is filed under the name uncultured bacterium. Its description in RNAcentral is "partial 16S ribosomal RNA". It matches the Rfam family "Bacterial small subunit ribosomal RNA", at positions 524 to 776 of the family's 1533-position model. The record is from RNAcentral.